AUGCACGCUGGCGGCGUGCCUAAUCCCUGCAAGUCGAGCGAACAGACGAGAGUGCUUGCACUCUCUGACGUUAGCGGCGGACGGGUGAGUAACACGUGGGUAACCUACCUAUAAGACUGGGAUAACUUCGGGAAACCGGAGCUAAUACCGGAUAAUAUUUAGCUUCGCAUGAAGCAAUAGUGAAAGACGGUUCUGCUGUCACUUAUAGAUGGACCCGCGGUGUAUUAGCUGGUUGGUGAGGUAACGGCUCACCAAGGCAACGAUACAUAGCCGACCUGAGAGGGUGAUCGGCCACACUGGGACUGAGACACGGCCCAGACUCCUACGGGAGGCAGCAGUAGGGAAUCUUCCGCAACGGACGAAAGUCUGACGGAGCAAUGCCGCGUGAGUGAAGAAGGUUUUCGGAUCGUAAAACUCUGUUGUAAGGGAAGAACAAGUACGUUAGUAACUGAACGUACCUUGACGGUACCUUACCAGAAAGCCACGGCUAACUACGUG
Molecule: ribosomal RNA, 498 nt
Filed under: uncultured bacterium
Lineage: Bacteria
Description: partial 16S ribosomal RNA
Rfam family: Bacterial small subunit ribosomal RNA
Source: RNAcentral